Loxodonta africana (African savanna elephant) is the source of this 95-nucleotide microRNA precursor. Ensembl annotates it as microRNA 340. Its record names the gene MIR340. The record is from Ensembl. NCBI's taxonomy places the organism in Eukaryota, Metazoa, Chordata, Mammalia, Proboscidea, Elephantidae.
UUGUACCUGGUGUGAUUAUAAAGCAAUGAGACUGAUUGUCAUGUGUAGUUUGUGGGAUCCGUCUCAGUUACUUUAUAGCCAUACCUGGUAUCUUA